CAGGGUCCGAUUCCAACAGCUCUCCACCCCUCCCGGCUAGGUCUUCCUUCCUUGUUUGGUUAUCACACUGUUGCUACGUCUCCAGGAGCUCUUCGGUACAGCCCUUGAGAAGGGACUUUCUCAGCCUCACAGUCAUUUCUGGCUGAGCCCCAUGGUGCGGGAGAGGCUGCUCUGUCGCACAGAAGAGUGAGGCCGUCCCCUGCCUCUGCCUGCUAAGUGCCAGCAGCCCAGUGGCUGCUUCCCUGGCAUCUCCCCAGAAGGACGUGAGAACUGCAGUUUGCUAUGGUCUCAGCUGUACUUUGCAAUGAUUGCUUCCUAUUAUGUGGGGACUGGCAUUUCACUUGGACAUGCGCUACUUUACAGAAGAGGAAACUGUGGCUAACAGAGCGGGCAGCUUCCACCCGAGGGAAUAGUCAGUGCCUGCUGCGUUUCUGAAGUUGCACAGGUCCCAGCGGUGAUGGUGCAGCAGCUAAAGCCUGUCCACCUACUAAUCAUCCCCUCUCCCUGUCAAUCUGGAACUGGGGCUCAGUAAUGGGCCUACUGUACCCCUGACCCAGAGCCACAGGAGGAAGACCUGUUGCCUGUUUCCCAAGCUGCCCUGACUUCUCAAGAUCUACCAAAAGGAAGGCGACCUUGCAUCUGUUGGUAGGAUUGACACUGUGCUGAGAAGGCCUCCAGCCCGUCGGACGGCGCCACCACAUCUGUGGCAGGUCUUUCCUCCUUGGUUAAACCUUUGGAAAAAGCCCACACCACCAAGGUGUGUCUCCUAGAGGACCUGUAUACCAUCAAGUUGGCAGUCAAGGUCAACCCCUGCCUUUCCCCUCUUGCCCUGUCACCCUGACACCCAGCUUCUAUUCCACUGCCAGCUCACAGUCCAACAACAGCUACUAGACCUCCCAUUCCCAUCAGGAGGAAGGAAAAUGGGACAAAGCAGGCUAAAGGACUCCUAUGAGGAGUCUUUCAGGGAAGCUGAUUGGAAGCUGGCUCCGAAUGUUGCUGUUGACACCUUGUUUGUCAUCCCUAGCAACAAGGGACUGUGAGAAUCAGUCCUUAUUCUCAGUGUCCUCUCACUCUGUGAAGACAAAGAAGGACGUUUUUCUUCUUUUCUUUUUUAAAGGAGACACUGGCUAGGGCCACCAGGAGACUAAAUUUCCAGGGAGGACUGAUGUCUGGCUGCUGGGACAGGCGGGUGCCACUGAGUGAGUAGGAGAAGAUUGGUCUUGAAGAAGUGGGUGUCGGGGUGAAGUGCUCUGGCAAGAAGUGGGGUUCUGGGGAGGGGGUGCUCUGGAAAGCAGGACUGUGAGUAGAGAAGAUGGAGGCAGAAUGGGGUGAGAGCAGGUGAAGUGGUCCAGCCUAGAGCACCCCCUGGGGAAUGACUGAGUGUUACACAUCCUCUGGCAAAGACAAGAAGAGUAAUAUGAUAACCUGCUGGUGACUUUGGGUGGCAUACUGCCCCACCAUCUUCACCCCCAGAAGCCUGCUUCCUGCUCCUGCGUCCUUCACUGUCACCCCAUAGCCUUCUGCCAAAGCUGCCAUGGCGAGGGAAGACCCCCAACACAGCUCCCACCUUGCAACCUUUCCUUGUAUAAGCCUGUCCUCAGGUAGCAUGGCAUUGUCCCCCCUAAAAUCUGUGUCUGCUAUCCAGAUGAUUUCUAAUGAUUAUUAUUAUGAUCCAGUAAUUUCCCUUAAUAUCUGUGGGCUUUUCAUACCUACGUUCUUAGCUUUGAGUCCUCAGGUGACAUUCCAACACAGAAGAGCCAGUUCCCACAGAGUCCGGGACUCACUCUAUCACAUCUGUUGACAGCUAGCUGUGUGACAUUAGUCCUCUGCCAGGAGAUGAUUACAUGGAUGAAAAAUGAGGCCAGGAGAAGGGAGGGCAAGGUCAGGGAAGCAUGCAUAUGGGGCUGAGCUCAGGAACCAUGGGCAGGGUCAUGUGGCCUCCCAUGCACUUUUGAAAUGAUGAUCUCAAACAAGAAUGAGGGAAAGUUGGCUAGCAGAGUGUGAAUGUCCUGGGAAGUGGGUAGGGGUGCGUGGGGACAAAGAGGACUAGAGACGGAGAAGAGGCUCAGUGGAAAGUAAGAGGAGCUCUCUGUCACUUGUGGAGACCCUCACAAACACGAUCGUCUUAAUGCCCGCAUCUAUGCUGUGAAAUAAACCGGAUGCUCUCACACCCAUUUCGUAGUUAGGAUAACUGAGAUCCUAGCAGGUGGUCUGUGGGUGAGUCCCUCAGCCUCUUGUCUGAACAACUGGAAGAGCAGUACCUGCUUCCUGUGACAUCCUUUGCAGGUCACUGCCAAUCUGUCCUAUUUCAGUGACAGCACCCCUAUAGCCAUGCUUGGGACUUCCUUUCUAUGAUCCCUAUUUCUAAUCCCAUCCUCCUUCCCUGCAUCUUGUUAUCUGCUCUUCCCCUCCUUUCUUUAUUCUAUUGCUUUUAUUUCCUUCCUUUCUUCCCUGUUGCUCCUCUCUCAGUUCUGUUGGGAGUCCUGGGAGCCAGAGAUAGCUGAUACCUCUCCACCUCCUCCUUGUGAUGUAGGCCAAUAGACAGCCCUCCAAAUUGCUUUGACAUCCACCAAGGAGCACAUUCCAGAAAUAUCUUAGGUCCUCUUCAGGAUGCAGUUGGAGCAUCUGGUUU
Long non-coding RNA from Microtus ochrogaster (prairie vole), 2632 nucleotides. RefSeq lists it as uncharacterized. The record is from RefSeq and is a predicted model, not a curated record. NCBI's taxonomy places the organism in Eukaryota, Metazoa, Chordata, Mammalia, Rodentia, Cricetidae.